This 344-nucleotide unclassified non-coding RNA is filed under the name Basidiomycota sp. RNAcentral's name for it is "partial contains small subunit ribosomal RNA, internal transcribed spacer 1, and 5.8S ribosomal RNA". The stretch from base 1 to 47 matches the Rfam family "Eukaryotic small subunit ribosomal RNA", at positions 1785 to 1831 of the family's 1831-position model. Lineage: Eukaryota; Fungi; Basidiomycota. The record is from RNAcentral.
AAAGUCGUAACAAGGUUUCCGUAGGUGAACCUGCGGAAGGAUCAUUAACACUCCAAAACCCUCAUAGCUCUGGGAAACCAGGGUUUAUGAAACCCUAUUCACUUUAACGAACCCGCAAAGAAAAAAAAAAGAAAGAAGACCUUGGUCUUCUGCUGCUUUCUUCUUUUGCACUUUUUCUUUUGUCCAUUUUUUUUAUUUUUAACCCCAAUCAUUUUAUAACAUUUGACUGACUGGAAGAUCUCGGUCUUCCGUUGCUCUACGCUCUAAACCAGCAUAGGCAAUGAAAACUACAUAAAAAAAAACAAACAAAAAAACAACUCUUAGCAACGGAUAUCUUGGUUCUC